RNAcentral lists this ribosomal RNA (742 nucleotides) under uncultured bacterium. RNAcentral's name for it is "bacterial SSU rRNA". It matches the Rfam family "Bacterial small subunit ribosomal RNA", at positions 94 to 822 of the family's 1533-position model. The record is from RNAcentral.
AGCGGCGGAUGGGUGAGUAACACGUGGGGAACCUGCCCCUAAGUCUGGGAUACCAUUUGGAAACAGGUGCUAAUACCGGAUAAUAAAGCAGAUCGCAUGAUCAGCUUUUGAAAGGCGGCGUAAGCUGUCGCUAAGGGAUGGCCCCGCGGUGCAUUAGCUAGUUGGUAAGGUAACGGCUCACCAAGGCGACGAUGCAUAGCCGAGUUGAGAGACUGAUCGGCCACAUUGGGACUGAGACACGGCCCAAACUCCUACGGGAGGCAGCAGUAGGGAAUCUUCCACAAUGGACGCAAGUCUGAUGGAGCAACGCCGCGUGAGUGAAGAAGGUUUUCGGAUCGUAAAGCUCUGUAGUUGGUGAAGAAGGAUAGAGGUAGUAACUGGCCUUUAUUUGACGGUAAUCAACCAGAAAGUCACGGCUAACUACGUGCCAGCAGCCGCGGUAAUACGUAGGUGGCAAGCGUUGUCCGGAUUUAUUGGGCGUAAAGCGAGCGCAGGCGGAAAAAUAAGUCUAAUGUGAAAGCCCUCGGCUUAACCGAGGAACUGCAUCGGAAACUGUUUUUCUUGAGUGCAGAAGAGGAGAGUGGAACUCCAUGUGUAGCGGUGGAAUGCGUAGAUAUAUGGAAGAACAUCAGUGGCGAACGCGGCUCUCUGGUCUGCAACUGACGCUGAGGCUCGAAAGCAUGGGUAGCGAACAGGAUUAGAUACCCUGGUAGUCCAUGCUGUAAACGAUGAGUGCUAAGUG